GUCUCACCCCUGCACCAGCGGGCUGUCUUGCCAUCACUGCAGACACAGCAGCAUCUCCACUCCUUCCUGCCCGUCCUUGCCUGGGGGUUGGUGGACUGGCAUUCACUGCUGGAGGGGAGCUGCCUCAUUAUCAGAUAACAAGUUUAAAAUGACAAGAAUUUGUUUUUCUCAUGGAAACAAUGGACAGCUGCGUGGGGGCAGUGCGUGAGAGGUUCUUUUGUGAGAGGGGCUUCCUGAAACUUGACCUUGGUUUUUCCGCCCAUCCAUGGGGAAAUGGGCAGUGAAGGCUUGGAGGAAGAGGACUGGGACCUGCAGUACCUCUAUGCCUCCAUGCUCUCCAUCCUCUGUGUCUGGGCCAGGCUGGCGCCAACUGGAAUACCACUCUAGGAGCCCUUCUCCUCUUGCUCCUUCCAGGCCCGGCCAGGGAGCUGGAGUCCCAUGUGGCUCAGGCCCCACUUGAACAUGGCCGCUCUCCAUGGGGUUGGCCCCGAGCAGCUCCCUCGGCGUGGGGGCUCUGGCGCCUCUCCACCUGCAGGUGAGCCCGGGAGGGUUGUCUGCAGCCAAAAUCAAGUGUGCAUUCUGUGCCAGGCCCUGCCCUCUCCAGCUGGGCACAUGCUCUCAGGGCAGCUGUUAUGAGACCCCCACACUGCCCCCACCCAUGGCCCUGGGCUGGGCUCCAGGCUAUAGCCUGGUGACUGCCCUGCCCAGUGCCCACACUCCCAGGGCCCCAGACCCUUGAAGACACCUUACCCCUGCACCAGUGGGCUCCCUUGCCUUUGCUGGAGACACAGCAGCACCUGUGGGCCACAUCUGUAGGAUGCCACAUGGCCACUCCUUCCUGCCCCCCUGGCCUGUGGGUUGGUGGACUGGGGUUCACAGUGGGAGAACAGCAUGUGGGAACCACAUUAUUAUGGGGUAACAAGUUUAAAAUGACAAGAAUUUGUUUUUCUCAUGAAUCUUCAAUUUGGGCUUGGCUAGGCAGAGACUGCCCCUCAUGGUGUCACUGCGAGCCCCCUGACGGGGCCAGAGGGUCUCUUCCAAAAGGACACACUCGCUUGGCAGGCUGCUGCAGCACAUCACUUCCACAUGGGAUAUUGAGUGGAAAAGUCACAGUGGCUCCCUCAGGUGCGAGGAGUGGGGACACUGGCUCCACCUCUUGAUGGCUGAGUGGCAGGGAUUCUAGAAGAGCCCGUGGAAUGGGAUAGGCUAUGGCUGACAGUUUUGGGAACGAUCUGGCCGGCUCAAGGCUGCCCUGCUCUAUUCAUACCUUGUGUGAUCCCCUCCCCUUGACUGUGGGCUGGACUCAUUGACUCACUUCUGAUGGACAAAAUCUGGCAGAGGAAUGGGGCAUCACUUCCAAGAUUCAACUAUGAGAAGGUUGUGGCUUCUGUCCUGGGUGCUUUCUCUCACUCUGUCAGGUCACUCAUCCUGGGGGAAAGCUGGCUGCCACGCUGUAAAGGAACCUUGCAGAGAAGUCCACACAGCAAGGGAUCAGGCCUCUCAAAGCCACAGGGGAGCACUUGGAGGCUGAUCCUUAGCUGGUCCUCCGGAUGAGGCUGCAGUCCGCUGACAACUUGACUGCAUCCUCCUGACCGACCUGGUGAGGGGCUCCCAGCAGAGCCAAGUUCAG
Molecule: long non-coding RNA, 1630 nt
Filed under: Homo sapiens (human)
Lineage: Eukaryota; Metazoa; Chordata; Mammalia; Primates; Hominidae
Description: HSALNT0039566
Source: RNAcentral